RNAcentral lists this ribosomal RNA (468 nucleotides) under uncultured bacterium. RNAcentral describes it as "partial 16S ribosomal RNA". It matches the Rfam family "Bacterial small subunit ribosomal RNA", at positions 28 to 507 of the family's 1533-position model. The record is from RNAcentral.
GACGAACGCUGGCGGCGUGCUUAACACAUGCAAGUCGAACGGAAAGGCCCUGCUUUUGUGGGGUGCUCGAGUGGCGAACGGGUGAGUAACACGUGAGUAACCUGCCCUUGACUUUGGGAUAACUUCAGGAAACUGGGGCUAAUACCGGAUAGGAGCUCCUGCUGCAUGGUGGGGGUUGGAAAGUUUCGGCGGUUGGGGAUGGACUCGCGGCUUAUCAGCUUGUUGGUGGGGUAGUGGCUUACCAAGGCUUUGACGGGUAGCCGGCCUGAGAGGGUGACCGGCCACAUUGGGACUGGGAUACGGCCCAGACUCCUACGGGAGGCAGCAGUGGGGAAUAUUGCACAAUGGGCGGAAGCCUGAUGCGGCAACGCCGCGUGCGGGAUGACGGCCUUCGGUUUGUAAACCGCUUUCGCCUGUGACGAAGCGUGAGUGACGGUAAUGGGUAAAGAAGCACCGGCUAACUACGUG